GUGGGGAAUAUUGCACAAUGGGCGAAAGCCUGAUGCAGCAACGCCGCGUGAGGGACGACGGCCUUCGGGUUGUAAACCUCUUUUAGUAGGGAAGAAGCGAAAGUGACGGUACCUGCAGAAAAAGCACCGGCUAACUACGUGCCAGCAGCCGCGGUAAUACGUAGGGUGCAAGCGUUAUCCGGAAUUAUUGGGCGUAAAGAGCUCGUAGGCGGUCUGUCGCGUCUGCUGUGAAAACUGGAGGCUCAACCUCCAGCCUGCAGUGGGUACGGGCAGACUAGAGGGCGGUAGGGGAGAUUGGAAUUCCUGGUGUAGCGGUGGAAUGCGCAGAUAUCAGGAGGAACACCGAUGGCGAAGGCAGAUCUCUGGGCCGUAACUGACGCUGAGGAGCGAAAGCGUGGGGAGCGAACAGGAUUAGAUACCCCAGUAGUCC
This 430-nucleotide ribosomal RNA is filed under the name uncultured bacterium. RNAcentral describes it as "bacterial SSU rRNA". It matches the Rfam family "Bacterial small subunit ribosomal RNA", at positions 354 to 796 of the family's 1533-position model. The record is from RNAcentral.